Ornithodoros turicata is the source of this 191-nucleotide long non-coding RNA. RefSeq lists it as uncharacterized. The transcript is spliced from 3 exons. The record is from RefSeq and is a predicted model, not a curated record. Lineage: Eukaryota; Metazoa; Arthropoda; Arachnida; Ixodida; Argasidae.
GUAUGAGCACGCAUAUGCUAAAUCAAGACAAGACAUUCAAGCACGUCCAAGAAACGUGCAACACCGGCAAGCACAGCAAAAGUGGACAAUCUUUGUCUUGGGAAGGGACGCAUGAGGUAUGGCUUUAAUGGAAAGGCCUCAUCUGCAACGAAGUAGUAUGGCAGCUGACCAAGUCCAGGAACAUCGGAGGG